GUGGUGGCUUGUGCACCGGAACCGGAGGAGGGUGCUCGACCUUUGGCGGUGGCUUGUGUACCGGAACCGGAGGCGGGUGCUCGACCUUUGGAGGUGGCUUGUGUACCGGAACCGGAGGCGGGUGCUCAACCUUUGGCGGUGGCUUGUAAACGGGAACCGGAGGCGGGUGCUCGACCUUUGGAGGACAUGGCUUCUUAGGGGUCGGCGGUGGAAGCUCUACCUUCGGCGGUGGGUCGUGAACUGGUACAGGAGGUGGGUGCUCAAUCUUCGGAGGUUUAGGUGGACAAGGCUUCUUAAUAAUCGGCGGUGGAAGUUCCACCUUUGGUGGUGGCUCGUGAACGGGGACAGGGGGUGGAACCUCUUCCUUUGGUGGUGGCUCGUGAACGGGGACAGGGGGUGGAACCUCUUCCUUAGGCGGUGGAUCGUAAACCGGAACCGGAGGCGGAACCUCUGCCUUUGGCGGUGGCUCGUAGACCGGAACCGGAGGAGGAACCUCCUCGGGAGGGCUGUAUUUAGGUGGACAGGGUAUCUUGAAUUUAGGAAAAGGUGGAAGUACCAAAGGCG
RNAcentral lists this long non-coding RNA (564 nucleotides) under Capsella rubella. Its description in RNAcentral is "long non-coding RNA (CRUB_LNC001208)". Lineage: Eukaryota; Viridiplantae; Streptophyta; Magnoliopsida; Brassicales; Brassicaceae. The record is from RNAcentral.